Molecule: transfer RNA, 72 nt
Filed under: Pangasianodon gigas (Mekong giant catfish)
Lineage: Eukaryota; Metazoa; Chordata; Actinopteri; Siluriformes; Pangasiidae
Description: tRNA-Glu
Rfam family: tRNA
About the family: Transfer RNA (tRNA) molecules are approximately 80 nucleotides in length. Their secondary structure includes four short double-helical elements and three loops (D, anti-codon, and T loops).
Source: RNAcentral
UCCCUGGAGGACUAGUGGUUUGGCCACAGCGCUCUCACCAAUGUGGCCCGGGUUCGAUUCCCAGCCAGGGAA